RNAcentral lists this ribosomal RNA (95 nucleotides) under Histoplasma capsulatum. RNAcentral describes it as "partial 18S rRNA". Lineage: Eukaryota; Fungi; Ascomycota; Eurotiomycetes; Onygenales; Ajellomycetaceae. The record is from RNAcentral.
GGGGUUCCGGCCCGGGGGCUGCGGCCGCCGGGUCUGAAAGUUAGCUACCUGGUUGAUUCUGCCAGAGUCAUAUGCUGUCUCAAAGAUAAGCCAUG